Cervus elaphus (red deer) is the source of this 1482-nucleotide long non-coding RNA. RefSeq lists it as uncharacterized. The transcript is spliced from 7 exons. NCBI's taxonomy places the organism in Eukaryota, Metazoa, Chordata, Mammalia, Artiodactyla, Cervidae. The record is from RefSeq and is a predicted model, not a curated record.
CUUGAGCCAGGCCUCUGGACUCUAGGCCUCUCAGGGGCAAAGUUUGAAAUUUCCCUAAGCAGAUGAACCCGAGGGACGUCUGCAGCGCUAGCUUGUUCAGUCAUUGUGCACCUGUUCCAUGUAACAAUAACUAAGAAUCUGCACCUGCCCCCUCCCCCUCAACGUAGUAGGGAAUGCAAGGAAGACCCAGAAAUGACUCGCAGGAAGGAAGAAAGAACUUCGUGUAGCCCAAGAGGUGCAGAAGGACGACAGAACACCCACAGCCUUCCCCCAGUUCCAGUCGAGUGAACAGUGGGAGAAUUGAAUCAUCAACCCCACAUGGUUGCUCAGGAAGGAGGUGUUCCGUGACAAUCAGCAGAAUAGAUCCUUUACAAAAGCACAAACUGCUCCACUGUUGUCUUGGGUGAACUCACUUGUAAUAGUUCUUUAGUGGAAACUGUGACAGUAAUUCAAGUGGCUCAAAUGAUAGCUCUUCAUGAUCAAAAUCAAAAGACGAGGACACAGGAAAUGGAACAUGUGAAAACAUCACUCCGCUACUAUUAAACUCAAUGCAAGAGGUCUAACCAAAGUGCUCUGAAUCCAGAAGGCCUUCCUCAUUCUUUUAAGAAAUACUUACUGGGACCUCGGUAUCUGUCAGCCCCUGAUCUUCAAGCUGAGGAUAUCAAGGCCGCAGACAAGAGGGGAAACUCUCAGAGCCAGAAGGGGAAAGUGUUCUACAGCAGCUUCCAGAAAUAGUCAAGUUAGAAGAAGCAGGUCCACUUCCCCUACCUCCAACACCCACUCAUACCAGGAGAAGGAGAACAACCUUUAUCACCAGCGAUCAGUUUAAUUUGCAGGCUGCAUUAACAGAACGGAAGAGGAUAAAGGAACAGUGCUUUCCUCCCCUACUGAGGCAAGGAAGUGGGGAGAGGGAGGGAGAGAAGGAAGGAAGAAAAGGUUUUCUGACUUGGGACUGGCAUCAGAUAAUUGCUUUCCUUCCAGUUGGACAAUAAAUAAGAUGGGAGGAAUUGACAAGCCCAGGAGACUGGAGGCUGGCUUGGCUCCAUAAAGGCCCAUCAACUUCUCCAUCCUUUAUUGAACCAAGGAAAUGCUAUUAAAAUCAUCAUCUCCAGGCAAGGAAAUAUCCUUUUUACUUGGUUUGGUACUUGGAAGUCAUUUGUUUUCUAAUGAUGCUAAAUUCCACCUCUGGCAUUUACAUAUAUCUAAUUUCAAAAGGCAGACACAGGGAGAAGGCCAAGUUUUUUAAGGCUCUUGGGUUCAUUUUUGAAACCUGUCAGUGCUUCCAGGGCCAAAGAAUUCUACCAGUUGAAAUAAAAUUUUAUAUUCGCAACCAAAACUAAUAAAGCUACAUUCCACCGUGUUAAAAGUGUGUUCCUCUCAACUUUCAAAAAAGGUCAAGGAAACAAUCCACUUAAACCCUUGUAUAUUUCAGGAUUGUUAUUCCCUGAGAGUAUCUUCUCUAUUUUUCAAAUUAAGCACGUA